GACGAACGCUGGCGGCGUGCUUAACACAUGCAAGUCGAACGAUGAACCCGGAGCUUGCUCUGGGGGAUUAGUGGCGAACGGGUGAGUAACACGUGAGUAACCUGCCCUGGACUCUGGGAUAAGCGUUGGAAACGACGUCUAAUACCGGAUAGGACCUUGGAUCGCAUGAUCUGGGGUGGAAAGUUUUUUCGGUCUGGGAUGGACUCGCGGCCUAUCAGCUUGUUGGUGAGGUAAUGGCUCACCAAGGCGUCGACGGGUAGCCGGCCUGAGAGGGUGACCGGCCACACUGGGACUGAGACACGGCCCAGACUCCUACGGGAGGCAGCAGUGGGGAAUAUUGCACAAUGGGCGAAAGCCUGAUGCAGCAACGCCGCGUGCGGGAUGACGGCCUUCGGGUUGUAAACCGCUUUUAGUAGGGAAGAAGGGCUUCGGCUUGACGGUACCUGCAGAAAAAGGACCGGCUAACUAC
This 469-nucleotide ribosomal RNA is filed under the name uncultured bacterium. RNAcentral describes it as "partial 16S ribosomal RNA". It matches the Rfam family "Bacterial small subunit ribosomal RNA", at positions 28 to 504 of the family's 1533-position model. The record is from RNAcentral.